Molecule: long non-coding RNA, 7095 nt
Organism: Heterocephalus glaber (naked mole-rat)
Lineage: Eukaryota; Metazoa; Chordata; Mammalia; Rodentia; Bathyergidae
Source: Ensembl
GAGCUCUUUCUUGACCACGUAAGCUGCGAAAGGGCUUGGCCAGGGGAUGCAGCAUCCACCUGGGCAGCCCUGGCGAUGCUCACAUUGUUGACCUCUGUCUGUGUCCAGCUCCUUCAGUGAUUCCUGGCAACAUCAAAGAACUAAGACAACAAAACGGGAUGCUUUCCGAUCAUAAAGAUGCGGGUCCUUCAGUCUCUUUCAAGAAAUAAUAGUGUCGGUGACACCUCUCCGCCAAGAUUUUCAUCACACACGGCCCGGCGGCUGGGAAAGGCUGGACUACCUCCACACAGCCAUAGGUGCCAUUUUCUACCCAGCACGCACCUGGCGUUGGAAGAUGUUAAGAUUUCCUGUUAUUUCCUCACGAUUGCUAUAUCCCUGGUAUUUGGGGGAAAGGAACAAAGAAGUAACAAAAAUCUGAAAACUGAUCAUUGCUGGGAAGAGAUGACCGCUGAAAUAACAAAGGGCAUCCCUGAGAAACGCUGCCCCAGAGCAGCCCCCAAGCCACGUGACUUGGCAAUUUCACCAGUGAGAACAGAAUGAAGCAACUCAAAUCUCCACAGACGGUGCAGCGCCACCUCCCCUGCCCGCAGCAGGCUGGAACUGUAGGAAAUAAGCUGAACGCUGCUAAUGCUGAGAGCGCCAGCGCUCGAUGAGACUCCACGGGGCUCUCCAGCAGGCUCUUGGGAGGCCAAGCACACACUGGGAUGUGGACUUGUCACUCCAACUGGAUGAGCCGCCCCAGAGCCGGGCACUAAUUUACACGCGCAGGUCUGAGCCAGUGAGUUGCUGAAGAGGAAGUAGAAUGAAGAAAGGAAAUCAUGAAGAUAAAAGCCAUAGUUAAUGAAAUAGCAAACACACAUAAAUGAGAGAAUCGAGACCAACAGUAACUCUUGGAAAAAGAAGGAACCACAAGCAAGACUGGAAAAGCUAAUCAAGUAGACAGACAGAAGACAAGAAACAGUAGGAUGAAAGGGAGACCUGCUUGAAGACAUUUCAGACAUUCAAUAGGUGCCAUUUCAGAUUCAAAUGACAGAAUGUGGUCGGGAAGAAGCAGUGUACACGUUAAAGUUCCAUGAGGCUGUGCAGAUGCCACUUAAACACUGAUUCCUGAGGCGAGAGUUCUUCUGCCAGCUCACAUCAAAGCACUCAGUGAAGGUGAAGGCGAAUGACCUUUGGGCUCUGCAACCCUGCUUUCUUCCGCUCUCCUGCCUCCCUUUCUCCUCUUGCUAGAUGGCAAAAUUACAUGAAGAUCUUAAUUUGAAAUUCUUAAGGGGAACAAACCAAGAAGAAUAGAAGGGGCUCUUGUCCAAGAAUCUUAGGCCCCUCCAAUAUGAGACAUUCCUGAGACAGAAAAAUGUGUCUUCUCCGUGGGAACCAAGACAGUUUUGCUGUGUCCUCUACACACGAGAAUAAGCUAUCCAUCUGAUAGCCUCAUAAUAAGAUGUGCCCUUCUAGUCUCAGCACUCUUAGAAUGAAUUAUUUAACAUACUCCUAUUGUUCCCAUGUAAGUCCUGUGUAGAAUGCAGAGCUCAUUUGGGGGAAAAAAGGAAACACUGGAAGUAGCAAAAAAAAAAAAAAAUGCACCUGAGCUUAUGGUUCCUGCCAAUGGUAAAUUCACUGCUUGCACUUUUGCAUAAAAAUGUUUUUACUCCUUUCUUCCAUGGUGUGCACAAAGUAACGACUCUUCCCGGACACCUGCAGAGAGACCUAUGAGAAUGUCUGAUAAUUCUUACCAUGUUGGCCUCUGCAUCUUCUCUCCAACCUGCUCCUAAGCAGAGCACAUCUGCCACGAAAUAUCAGCAAAAGAAGGCUUCAUUAAAUAUUAAAUGCUGUUUUCUGCCUUUGCAAGCAUUUGCCCUAUACAAAAAACCCUCACAUGGUGAAAAUGUACAGAAGAGCAGCAAGAACUUGAUGAGCCGUCAGCAGCUCUGUGCAGGCGGCAGCCCAUCGGUGUGCGGCCAGUUUCUUACUCUUAGCCACCUGCUGCAGCCCCAAGUGGAACAGGGAUUUCAAUGAUGUCUCUAAAUGAUCAUUAAAGUGGAACCUUGAGACAGUACAUUUGUUCAGCAUCUUCAAGAUGCAUAAAACCUAUCUGUCCAAUAGCUAAUAAUUCAAAUAAAGAGAAAAAGUAAAUGUGAUAUAAGCUUUAUAUUGAUUUUUUCAAAAUUUGCUCCUAUGCAUUUACGUAUGUAAUUGGAAAUAAAGGGUUUCUAUUUUACGUCACCUUGGAAUUUUCCCCUUCUAUAAUCUUAAACCCUUCCUUGAAAGAUCUCAGAGGCGGUUGGUUUUCCUUCUACUGCCCUCUGGUGGUCUAGUCGCUGACUGGUCUGGUUCACAAGUGUCAAUACGCUAAAGGUUUUUCAAUAAACAGAUUUUUUUAUGUAAUGACAAAUGUUCACGGAGAAAUCUGGUCAGUAGAUUUUUAUUUCUCGUGUAUCUGACAUUUGUUAUGUCUGAAUUCACAGAUCCUUUUUACUUAACUCCAAAUCAUCAUGACUUCAAGUCAUUCAUGUGUACAUUCAUAUCUAUCUUGUAUUAUUUUAGAUUCUACAUUAUAACAUAUUAAGGUUGAAACGUGGACUUUCCUAUCUGCCUUGAUAGUUAUGAAUUUUUUGAAAAGUUAGUAUUAUAAAUUUUAAGACUACAGGAGAAGAGCUGAUUAUUUGCACACUAAUAUGUGGCUUCAACAAACUCUCCCCAAACUCAGAAAACAGCAUCGGCACUGAUUUCAAACACCAUGAAACUGGUGGAUCUGAAAGGACGGGUCAGGGAGCUUCUCCUACUGUCAUAUCUUCUUGUCAGAAACUGCGACCUGCUUUUCUGCAGCCUGUGAUUAGCACCUUCUGAAAUCCCAGAUGUGCGUUAAUUCCAUUUAUUGUAUUGCUUCAAAUAGAUGGAGACAGUGUCUCCGAGAUGUGUGAUCCAGAUGGCUUUCCGACAAAGAGGAAUCUCUCCACCUCUGUGCCUGCAUCCAGCUCUGAGUGACGCCCCAUGCUUGCUGCCAGGCUCGCCUCUCAGUCAUUUGCCCAACCUUGGAACACGUCCUCCCUUCUCUCUGCUCACUGAUGAGAUAUAAUUUACGUUGAUUCAACUCUUCACAAAUUGCCAUCUGUCAGCUUUGCUUUCCUGAAUCCCUCAUCCCAUUCCUUCAGUGCAUUUGGUUGGACUGGCAGAAGCUCAGGUAUUGGCUUGGAACAAGGUCUCUCUCCACAGCAAAGGCCCCGUUGGAAACUGGCUCCUACCUCAUGAUGGUGCCAUCUUAUCAUGGUCUCAAUGGUGGUGAUGUUUUCAACUUGGCUUUUCAUUCUCCUCUAAUUCACAGGAAAUCUGGUGGGAGCCCUACUGGUUUCGCUAGCUGUGGGACUGGAUUAAGAGGCAUUUGACAUAUAUGUUCUCCAAAGAAUCUGCCUGUGUUGGUAGAGAGGCUCUUGCAGUGCUGCAGGUGCUGGGGAUGUGGAACCUUCACAGCCAGAGCACCCAGAUUCCUGCCUCUUCUGGAGCCUGGAGCACAAAUCAGUUUCACUGAAGACUUCCAUCCAAAGGGGCUGUCUUCAUAUUCCUUGUAAAGAUCUGAACAAAUCUUUCUGUAGGCCUGGAACGUUAAUUCUACUGAGGAAGUAGACAAGUAUCAUUUAAUUAAUAAGAAUAUUAAGGCAUGAUAAAAAUCUUAAUGUGGACAGACUAAACUUAAACAUGUAUUAAUGUUAAUGUUUUUAGAAGUGCUUCCUCUAUCCAAGAUUUCUAAAUUUUGACCUAAUUGACAUUUGGGGCCAAGUAAUUCUUUACUGUGGGAAGCCACCCUGUACAUUGUCAGAUGUUAGUCAGCAUCCCUGCCCUCUUCCUACUGGAUGUCGGUACACCUGUCCCCAGGUUAUGACAAACAAGACUAUCUCCAAACUUUGCCAUAUGUCCUUAGGGAAUAAAAUUGCACUCCCUUAUUAAGAAUCAUUGUCAUUACCGAUGAAUAUUAGUGAAAGAAACAUCCUAAAACAUGAGUGAUUCUCCAGAAGUCUAGGUGGUUUUAGCUAACUUCCAAGUGACCUCAAUGUAAAAGAAAUGAAAUAGAAAUUCAAAUAUGAAAGAAAAGGGUAAAGACUGGGGAGGAAUAUGGACAUAUUUUGUACAGAAAUGAAAAUGAUCAUGGGCUCUGAACAUCACCCCACCAGAUCUGGGCCCUGAACACAAGGACUCAUUAGCCAAGUGUUCUAUGGAGGUGUUUCUAAAUACGUAUUUCUUCCUUUAUUGGAAACCAGAAGCCUGUGGAAACUUGUGAUGGAUCACAGCUAGUGGUAAUUGCCUUUAGAACUACUGAUCUAAUGGGUAGAUUCUAAGUAAUAAAAGGAGGGACACACACACCCCCAUAGCCCAUGUAGAUGUCAUGGUCUACCUUAGCUACUUUUUCUAGUUGCUGAGACAAAAUACCUGACACCCAAAAUUGAAGGGGGAAAGGUUUAUUUUACCUCACAGUUUGUAGAGGCUUCAGUUCAUAGUUGGCUGGCUUCAAGGCACGGUAGCAUGGCAGAGGGGCAUCACAGAGGCGAAACAGUUCAUGCCAAGGAGAAGGCAGCAAGCAGCAAAGUAGAGAAGCAGCAAGUCUUAAGCAGCAACAGCAGCAGGCCUCCUUCUGUCCGUCAAUCCUAGCAUCACACCAUGAAUCAAUCCCAGCAUCACACCCUUGACCCCAGCAUCACACGCUCUAGAUCCAGCCACUCCAGAGAGCCCCCGCCUGUGACUGCAUAAGGCUUAGAUACAAGCCAUCUCACAGAUCUUGGGUAUGGGCCUUCUGAAUAUACCCUUCUUGAAGAUCUUUAUCCACUUGAAAUUCAGGCUUUUCCUGGGAACAGUCCCUAUGUUCAAAGUAGCCAUCAAACUAUAUCAUAUGGCAGCUCUGUGACCCCAGGUAAGCAGGGGAUUGUAAAUCUAUUUUAGCUCCAAGCCAUCAUUUCCGAUGGACAUGUUAGAACACAUGAUGUGAGUCUAUCAUAACAGUUUCUUUAUUUUGUGGAGUUGGGUAUACCAUGAGCUAACUCAUGCUCCUGAAAUAUGAAAAUCUAUAAAAUAAGAAUCCAAUGUAACAUGGUCAGUUCUGAGACAGAAGUUUAAGUUGAACCCAAACCCUUGCAUUAUAGAAGAAUUAUAUUGUAGGCAACUAUUCAGAGUGUACUGCUUCUCCCACUAAAAAAUAAUACCUGGCUCUGUAAUUUGGGACUAAUGUAAUGGAAUCCAUCAGGCCCAUCAUGAUUGAUAGAGACCUUUCUUAUAGUUAUAAAAAACAUAAGUAGGCAGACUUUGCUAAACCUAAUUUUCUGUACCUAUAAAAUAGAUGAUAAUCGUGAUAUAAAAGUUCCUGUGUCUGCCAGGUUUGCUAUAAGGAUUAAAUAAGAUACCUGAUAUAAAACAUAUGGUUGUUUGUCAGCACACAACAUCAAGGGCUCAAUAACUCUUAGCUGCUAGUACUUUAUUAUAGUACAUAUUGUUGCCACAGAGGCUACUAGUGAUGCCAUUUCUACAUCCAACACUUCAGUAGAGUUGUCUAUUGUUAUGGUUUGGGUAUAGUGCAGGCUUAUCUCCCAAAGGUUUGACUGUUGCAAGUUUGGUCUCCAUUGUGGUGGAAUUAAGAGAUGGUGGGGUCUUCAAGAGGUGGGAUUUCAUGGGCAGUCAUCAGGUCAUUGGGGGCAUCACUCUUAAAAGAAAUUAAGAUGGUUCUCAUGAGACACUAGCUAGUUCUCAUGAGAGGGUUACUAUCAAAGAUCAAGACUGGCUCCUCCUUAGUCUCUUGAUUACUCACCUUGCCAUAUGAUUUUUCCUCUCACAUGUACUUCUGCUAAGAACUCCAAAACUGUGAGCUCUAGACCUCUUUUCCUUAUAUAUUUCCUGCCAUUGAGUACUUUGUUGUAGCAAUGGAAAACAGACUAAUACAUCUAUCAAAGUAGAACUAGGGAAAAUCAUACCCAAAAAAACCUAGAAACUUUAAAUACUUCAGAGUUAACCAUCCUAGCAACAAAAAAAGAAAUUUUAAAUCCUUCAUAAAAGAGAUUGGAAAACUUUCAUUGAAGUAAAAGUCACUGCAAUUUUGUCAAGAAAUGUGGAACUGAUAUAUAAAAUCCUAGCUUAAAAGGUCAACAGAACAUCCAAUCAUGUAGGAUUGAGUGAAGAUUUUAGACUUCUGAAUGAAUCCUAAACAGUGAGACACUCAGUAAAACUUUAAUUAUUAAAAAUGUAUCAAUAUGCAUAUAAGUUCCUUGCAUUCUAGAACUGUGAAAUCUCUUCAACCUUUGGAGUGUGAAGAGCCCUAAGAGAAUGUUAUGGUUUGUAUCUAGAUGUCCUCCAAAAGCCUCAUGCACUUAUAGGUAGGGCUUUUGGGAAGGGGCUGGAUCAUGGGUGUGUAAUACUGGGAUUAAAGGUGUAUGAUAACAAAAUUAAUCCAGUGAUUGGUUAAGCACAGUCUUGGGUGUGGAUAAUGGGAAGACCCACACUGGAUGAGAGUGGCACCAACCAAUGGGCUUGUAGCCUGGAUGGGAUAAAAAGGAAAAGAAGGCUUGCUGCUGCUGCUGCCUCCUGCCUACCAUGCCAUGGACUGUUUCUCCUCUGCCAUGCUCCUCAGCCAAGCCACCCAACUAUGGACUGAAACCUCUACAAACUGUGAGCCAAAAUAAACCUUGCCUCCUUUAAUUUUAGGUGUCAGGCAUUUUGUUCCAGCAAUGAGAAAAGUAACUGAGACCAAGAAGUAUCUGAAAGAUGUCUCUCAAGAAAAAUUGUACUGCAAUGGAUACUUAUAAAAGGAAAUUCAGAUGUUUAACUUUUGAUGUUUGUUUUUUAAAGCUUGCUACAAAAAGCCACCAGAGGGGCUAGGGAUGUAGCUCAGUGGAAGUGCAAGGCCCUCAGUUUGAUACCAAAAAAAGAAGAUAUCAGAGGUCAUAAAAAUAUUUUGAAUAUUCGGUAAUUAGAAAAGUAAGAUAAAAUAGAAACAUAAGUGUUACUAGAUAUAAAUCAAAAAGAAAUAGUUAAAUCCCACUACAGAGUGUACCAUCAUUAAAAACUCAUUAGAAAUGUAACUAGAGCUUUGGAUUGGUAUCUUUUUUCAUUAUAUAUCUG